GAUGAACGCUGGCGGCGUGCUUAACACAUGCAAGUCGAACGAUAAAGCCCAGCUUGCUGGGUGGAUUAGUGGCGAAAGGGUGUGUAACACGUGAGUAUACUGCCCCUUACUCUUGGAUAAGCCUGCGAAACUGGGUCUAAUAUCCGAGAGAGGCGCUUAUCGUACGGGGGGGGUGGGAGAGAUUUACCGGUGUUGGAUGGACUCGCGGCCUAUCAGCUUGUUGGUGGGGUAGUGGCUCACCAAGGCGAUGACGGGUAGCCGGCCUGAGAGGGUGACCGGCCACACUGGGACUGAGACACGGCCCAGACUCCUACGGGAGGCAGCAGUGGGGAAUAUUGCACAAUGGGCGAAAGCCUGAUGCAGCAACGCCGCGUGAGGGAUGACGGCCUUCGGGUUGUAAACCUCUUUCAGUAGGGAAGAAGCGAGAGUGACGGUACCUGGAGAAGAAGCACCGGCUAACUACGUG
RNAcentral lists this ribosomal RNA (466 nucleotides) under uncultured bacterium. RNAcentral describes it as "partial 16S ribosomal RNA". It matches the Rfam family "Bacterial small subunit ribosomal RNA", at positions 28 to 507 of the family's 1533-position model. The record is from RNAcentral.